AAGACCAUCUUGAUCUUCCCACAGAGAAACACUAGUUCUCAACCAGCUUCUGGGCUAUACCUCUGCAGGGACAGGGCCCUCCCAGCACUGAGGAAAGCGCGGGACCACGCAGGGGUCAGCAAAGUGGGGAAUGGCUCUCACACUGGAGGUCGUUUGCCAGAGCAUCCCUGCUUGAAAAUAGUGAAGAUCACUGUACUAAGGGAAGGCUGCUAGCCUGAACAACGUUUGACUGCUCCAGCUUCUGACAACUUCCCGGAAACAGCUAGCUCUUUGGACUGCAGAAGUUCAUCGCAGCAUUCCUACGAGGCUGACCUUUUGGUUUAAAUAUCUGUACUAGCACGGCAGCAGGAUACUGAAACACAAACCACAAUGUAUUCUAGGAGGAAACCUUUAAUAGAAAAUUGAAAAACCUUUAUGACUCUAUAUAAAACUUUAAUUCUUAAAAGACAUCUGUUAUAAAAACACAGGGCUGUCCGUGAUGAGAAAGCUGUACUUACAAGCCAUUCUUUCUAUAUACAGGUUAUUUAAUAGGAACAAACGUUUGUGGCAUUUUGCCAACAGCACUGCAACUACUGCACCAAUAUGAAUGGUCAGUCAAUCCAUCAUUCUGCCGUAGCUUGGUGAGGCCUGGCUUGCUGGCCCAACCCAGCAGCUAGGCCAGGCAGUCAAGAAUCCGAGAAGAGAUGGAAAGCCCGCAAGCAGAACAAUUGUCUCCCCCACCCCAGAAUCAUGUGACAGUGUAGAGCAGGAAUGUCUUGCCCCACAUUGCCUAUUUAUUUAUUUAUUUAUUUAUUUAUUUAUUUAUUUAUUUAUUUAUAUUUAUUAAUGGACCCCUCCAAGUCACCCUAUUCCUUUAAAGAGUAGGGGAAAGAAGACUGGAAAAGCUCUUGAGGGGUCAAUUUCUCUCCCUGCCCUCCUCCCCAAAAAACAUCAGGAUGCAGAGCAAGGACAGCCAAAUCACAGUUUCAGCCAAGGCAGCAAUAUAACUUGAACAUGUCCUUAAUCUGAGGAGGGGGCACUGCUAAAUCUACCUACCGUUAGAUCCAUUUGCUACUGUUCUGUGUGGGGGGGGGGGAGAGGAGUAAUCUUGCAGAGAAAUUUAACAGCCGCUCGUGUGCCGUGGUGCUCAGAAAAGAGAUCUGUGCUGGUGUUAUCUUGCAAUCUGAACACAGACCUGGUGAUCCUGAGGGCACAUUGUGGGGUAGAGGCAGAGGGCAGACAUUCAGAGGUAGCUUCAUCUACCUGUAUAGAUGCUCUAAGGAUCUGACUCCCAAUAAAAACAAUGUAUUUUACGGCACAAAAUGGCAGCCCGGGUUUUUGCUUUGGCAAAAUGAAAGCUUUGCACAAUAAA
This is a long non-coding RNA of Hemicordylus capensis (graceful crag lizard), 1351 nucleotides long. RefSeq lists it as uncharacterized. The record is from RefSeq and is a predicted model, not a curated record. Lineage: Eukaryota; Metazoa; Chordata; Lepidosauria; Squamata; Cordylidae. The transcript has 2 exons.